RNAcentral lists this ribosomal RNA (735 nucleotides) under Triticum aestivum (bread wheat). RNAcentral describes it as "partial small subunit ribosomal RNA". Lineage: Eukaryota; Viridiplantae; Streptophyta; Magnoliopsida; Poales; Poaceae. The record is from RNAcentral.
AUGGGGCUCUCGCCGUCGCCGUCCUCACCGGAGGGGAGGUGGGACGACCUCCCCGACGAUAUAGCCAUCGCCGUCGCCUCCCGCCUCCAGGAGGCCGACGUGUGCGCCCUCGGCGGAUGCUCCCGGUCCUGGCGCCGCGCCUGCGACGCCAACUUCGUGUGGGAGGGCCUCUUGCGCCGCCGCUGGCCGGCCACCGCGGCCGCCAUGGCGGCCGGAGGGGCAGGGGCUUCCCGUGCGCAGGGAUGGAAAGCUCUCUACAUCAACAACCAUGGAAGAACUGCUGUGGCUAUCUCUAGAGUGGUUGAAUUUGUGGAGAGCAGCACACAUAACGGGUCGCUUGAAGCUGAAUGUUAUCUGAAAGCUAUGUCUGAUUUGGCACUGAUGGAGGAUAUAGGCUUCGUCAAUGUCCAGUUUUUCUUGCUUUCAAGAAAUCGCAGUGCGAUAAUAAAUCUUAUUGGAUUGCAUUACUCCAUUGCAUAUUUGCAUAUACUGCCCAAUGAGGUGGAUAAAGCACUUCGAGCUUGCCAGGUAGCAGAAAGAAAGGUGUGUGUGAGCUUGCUCAAGCUUGGUCGAUGGUUCUAUGGUUUUAGGUUGCCCGAUGACUAUGAGUCGUACAAAAACUCACUGAGCUGGCUCACCAGCGAUGACGGGGCAAAAGUUUUAGUCAUUCUCAACCGUGGUGCUGUCCAUGAGGUAUUUCGUCUCCAGGUCAGUUUGGUGGGUACAAAUAACUGA